This is a non-coding RNA of Danio rerio (zebrafish), 1111 nucleotides long. NCBI's taxonomy places the organism in Eukaryota, Metazoa, Chordata, Actinopteri, Cypriniformes, Danionidae. The record is from RefSeq and is a predicted model, not a curated record.
UGUUGUGAAUUAAUUCAUUAUUUAUAAAUAAUUAAUUCACCGCCACCUACGACGACGUUGUCAUCGUCCAUCGCGACAUUUUACAUUAGACACCAUACAAUGCCAAAUUGGUAGGCAUCGCCCAACCCUAAUUCAGACUCAACAUUGCAUAUCCUGUGAUGUGACUAUUGAAGAUGCAGACAUUGCCAUUUCAAAGCUAAAACGAUAUAUUGUGCAGGCCUACUUAAGGCCUAUAUCUACCUGUGGUUAUUUGGGCAAAUGGCUAUUUUUUUAAAAAUCCAAAUAUUUCUAAAAACAUAGGAACUUGAUACAACAGUGAAAGAAUUAAUAUAGUUAGUGACCCCUUAUAUUUCCUCAAACAUCGAAACAUUACAUUAAAAUAACUAAUUUUCCUUCAAAAAUGGCCUGCCCUUACGCAAUCGCUAAAGAGAUGAAUUGAUCUUUUCAAAGGAUUACCUGGAGUUAUCGGAGCAAUUGAUUGCAUACACAUUCCAAUCUCUAUGCCAGUAAAAGAAAUCAAGGCUACUUUCUUUAACAGGAACGCCACUCACAGCAUCAAUGUUCGGAUGACUUGUGACCAUCAGUGUUUGAUCACAAGCCUGGAUGCCAGAUGGCCUGGCUCAAUGCAGGACAACCAAAUUUUCGAGAAGUCAAAGUUAUGUCAGCGCUUUUAGCAAGGUACAGUAAAACUGCAACUGUAGACAGCACUUCAUGAAAAUGGAGUGUUAUUGUGACGCUGGUCUUUCUGGUGUACAUUAUCAGGGCUGUUCGAAGGUGUGUUGGUGGGAGACGGGACCUAUGCAUGCCAGAGCUUUUUGCUGACUUUUUCAAACCAGGCUCAAGCUAGACUCCACUUUAGCCAUUUUAAAGGCCCGGCUUAACUGUCUUCGUGACCUGAGAGUGUCACCCUAACGCACGUCUCAGUUUGUGGGUGCAUGUACUGUCCUCCACAACAUGGCCUCUAUAAGGAAGGAGCAGAUGUCAAGUGAAUGCCAGCAAUCCAAUGAUGUUGUUGACCCUGUUUCCCGGGACCAUCCCGCUGGGAGGGGUGUCAGACUUGCCAUCACAGAAGAAUAUUUCAUGCAACAUUCAAUAAAGCAAAAUUGACAAC